Molecule: ribosomal RNA, 497 nt
Filed under: uncultured bacterium
Lineage: Bacteria
Description: partial 16S ribosomal RNA
Rfam family: Bacterial small subunit ribosomal RNA
Source: RNAcentral
GAUGAACGCUGGCGGCGUGCCUAAUACAUGCAAGUCGAGCGAACAGAUAAGGAGCUUGCUCCUUUGACGUUAGCGGCGGACGGGUGAGUAACACGUGGAUAACCUACCUAUAAGACUGGGAUAACUUCGGGAAACCGGAGCUAAUACCGGAUAACAUAUUGAACCGCAUGGUUCAAUAGUGAAAGGCGGCUUUGCUGUCACUUAUAGACGGAUCCGCGCCGUAUUAGCUAGUUGGUAAGGUAACGGCUUACCAAGGCAACGAUACGUAGCCGACCUGAGAGGGUGAUCGGCCACACUGGAACUGAGACACGGUCCAGACUCCUACGGGAGGCAGCAGUAGGGAAUCUUCCGCAAUGGGCGAAAGCCUGACGGAGCAACGCCGCGUGAGUGAUGAAGGUCUUCGGAUCGUAAAACUCUGUUAUCAGGGAAGAACAAAUGUGUAAGUAACUGUGCACAUCUUGACGGUACCUGAUCAGAAAGCCACGGCUAACUACGUG